CCCGGAUGCCCUUUGGGCGUUUCCUCCCUAGACUUGAAGGCCGCGCCUCCUGGCUGCGGCCUUUUUCUUGCCCCUG
RNAcentral lists this small RNA (76 nucleotides) under Azospirillum brasilense. Its description in RNAcentral is "suhB". It matches the Rfam family "Makes More Granules Regulator RNA (mmgR)". From Rfam's summary of the family: SuhB later renamed mmgR (makes more granules regulator) was a putative non-coding RNA found multiple times in the Agrobacterium tumefaciens genome and related alpha-proteobacteria. Other non-coding RNAs uncovered in the same analysis include: speF, ybhL, metA, and serC. Lineage: Bacteria; Pseudomonadati; Pseudomonadota; Alphaproteobacteria; Rhodospirillales; Azospirillaceae. The record is from RNAcentral.